UUUCUUAAAGCAGUUAACUUGGCAACAGCUGAGAGUAAGUGCCAAACUUCCACCAACAACUAUGGCUUCCUUGGCAAACGUCCCCUACAUUCUCGGACCCCCAAAUACUCAUCACAAACCCCACAACAACAUUAAUAACAACAACAACUUCAAAUCUCUCUGCCACCAUCUUCCAUUUUAUAGGAACAUCUGGUGGGUCUCUGCUACCACUGUCACGCCAAAACGAAAUUCUUCAACUAUCACCUGCUUUGCUGCUAAUAAGCCAUCCUCAUCCACUGAAAUCAGUUCUACCGCCAGGAUACGGAGUGAAGUUCUUACUCCCUUUCGGUCUGUUCGGAUGUUCUUUUAUCUUGCUUUCAUAGCAAGCGGUGCUCUUGGAGGAUUUAUAGCAACCACACAAUUGAUUGCUGCAUUAACAAAUUCAUCAAAAACAGCUGAUAUCCCUGAGAUGUUGAAAGGUCUUGGCAUAGACAUUGGAGCAGUAUCUCUUUUUGCAUUCCUUUAUUAUAGGGAGAACAAUGCUAAGAAUUUGCAAAUGGCUAGGCUCUCAAGAGAGGAAAGCCUUUCAAAUCUUAAGCUCCGUGUGGACCAAAAGAGGAUUAUCCCAGUCAGCUCUUUGAGAGGGAUUGCUCGGCUUGUAAUUUGUGCUGGCCCUGCAUCCUUCAUUUUGGAGUCUUUUAGACUAAGUGAACCUUUCACUGAAAGCCUUUUGGACAGAGGGGUGCUUGUAGUACCCUUUCCUACAGAUGGCAGUUUGCCUAGUUUUGAAAUUGAAGAAAAUGAAGAGACAAAGGAGAUUACCACCAAAAGAAAGAGACUCUGGCAACUGGCUCCUGUUUAUACUUCUGAGUGGUCCAAGUGGUUAGCUGAACAGAAGAAGCUGGCUGGUGUCCCCUCUGAGUCUCCAGUGUAUCUAUCACUACGAUUGGAUGGUCGUGUUCGUGGAAGUGGUGUUGGUUACCCUCCUUGGAAUGCUUUUGUUGCACAAUUACCACCUGUAAAGGGAAUAUGGUCAGGCAUUCUGGAUGGCAUGGAUGGAAGAGUUCUUUGAAGAAUCUGUUUCCAUUUAUGAAGGCAGAAGCUUUCGGAUGUAGGCAACGGUGCCAAUCAUGGUGAGGAGACAUUGGCCAUUUCUUCAUUUAAUUUGUAUAUUUGGAUCCUCUGCCAAUUCUCUUGCUCUUCCACUGCAGAAUUUUCAAGUUUCUGCCUGCAACCUUAUGGUCAUACAAGGCUUGGCUCUUUGUUUACACCUUACACAUUUGACAAGGUUUGCUGUGCAGCAUGAAUUCUGAGAAGGGUGACACCAAACAGCACUCAUCAUUCUAAUAGGAGUGGGUACGGGGAUUUUAGGCUUUGAUGGGGUCUUGAUUUAUACAAGGAGGAUGAACAAGCAACCACAUAUUAGAAUAUGAAGGAAGUUCACUAGAAUAUGAGAUGUGUAACAAAUGUAACUGUCUAAUCAUGGCUUCAAUAUACUUUUUUUUUUUGUAUAAAGGUAUAACUAUGGCUUCAGUAUACUUAAACCUGUAUAAAAGGAACUUAUUUUUUGUUUUCACUUUUUGGAAUUUCUUUUCUGUUGCUACUAUUGGAGUUUCCUAUCACUAUAUAUCUCUCGGGAUAAAGGUAUUCAAAAUGUGCUGUCACUGUGCAUAAAGAAUUAAUGAUGGCCUUGAUUUUAAAACUGGUUCAAAUCACAGCUAGUGUAGUAUAUGUUAUGGACAAUAUCAAUUUGGCUCUUGGCAGCAUUUGUCAUAACAUAAUAAGGAAGAAGAAACAAGAAAUCACAGAGAGAGUAUAUAUUCGUCACACAGACAAACUAAAGCUA
RNA transcript from Quercus lobata, 1825 nucleotides. It is a transcript of the gene named LOW PSII ACCUMULATION-like protein, with no coding region annotated. The transcript is spliced from 7 exons. The record is from RefSeq and is a predicted model, not a curated record. Lineage: Eukaryota; Viridiplantae; Streptophyta; Magnoliopsida; Fagales; Fagaceae.